RNAcentral lists this ribosomal RNA (637 nucleotides) under uncultured Candidatus Cardinium sp. Its description in RNAcentral is "bacterial SSU rRNA". It matches the Rfam family "Bacterial small subunit ribosomal RNA", at positions 28 to 660 of the family's 1533-position model. The record is from RNAcentral. Lineage: Bacteria; Pseudomonadati; Bacteroidota; Cytophagia; Cytophagales; Amoebophilaceae.
GAUGAACGCUAGCGGCAGGCCUCAUACAUGCAAGUCGAGGGGCAGCGGGACACUUCGGUGUUGCCGGCGACCGGCGGACGGGUGCGUAAUGCGCAUGCAAUCUACUUUACACUGGGGAAUAGCCUCCGGAAACGGGAAUUAAUACCCCAUAUAAUCUUAUUAGCGCAUGUUAAAAAGAUGAAAGCUCCGGCGGUGUAAAAUGAGCGUGCGUCGUAUUAGCUAGUUGGUGAGGUAAUGGCUCACCAAGGCUACGAUGGGUAGGGGUUCUUAGUGGAAGGUCCCCCACACUGGCACUGAGAUACGGGCCAGACUCCUACGGGAGGCAGCAGUAGGGAAUAUUGGUCAAUGGGCGCAAGCCUGAACCAGCCAUGCCGCGUGCAGGAUGAAGGCUCUCUGAGUUGUAAACUGCUUUUGUACAGGAGCAAAAAAAUCCCUGCGGGGGUUCUUGAGAGUACUGUAAGAAUAAGCACCGGCUAAUUCCGUGCCAGCAGCCGCGGUAAUACGGGAGGUGCAAGCGUUAUCCGGUUUUAUGGGGUUUAAAGGGUGCGUAGGCGGCUUAUUAAGUCAGUUGUGAAAUCCUAGUGCUUAACGCUAGAACUGCGAUUGAUACUAUUAGGCUUGAGUUAAGAAGAGGUAA